Molecule: ribosomal RNA, 460 nt
Filed under: Neisseria sicca
Lineage: Bacteria; Pseudomonadati; Pseudomonadota; Betaproteobacteria; Neisseriales; Neisseriaceae
Description: bacterial SSU rRNA
Rfam family: Bacterial small subunit ribosomal RNA
Source: RNAcentral
AUUGAACGCUGGCGGCAUGCUUUACACAUGCAAGUCGGACGGCAGCACAGAGAAGCUUGCUUCUUGGGUGGCGAGUGGCGAACGGGUGAGUAACAUAUCGGAACGUACCGGGCAGUGGGGGAUAACUAAUCGAAAGAUUAGCUAAUACCGCAUAUCUUCUGAGGAAGAAAGCAGGGGACCAUUUGGCCUUGCGCUGUUUGAGCGGCCGAUAUCUGAUUAGCUAGUUGGUGGGGUAAAGGCCUACCAAGGCGACGAUCAGUAGCGGGUCUGAGAGGAUGAUCCGCCACACUGGGACUGAGACACGGCCCAGACUCCUACGGGAGGCGGCAGUGGGGAAUUUUGGACAAUGGGCGCAAGCCUGAUCCAGCCAUGCCGCGUGUCUGAAGAAGGCCUUCGGGUUGUAAAGGACUUUUGUCAGGGAAGAAAAGGGCGGGGUUAAUACCCCUGUCUGAUGACGUAC